This 253-nucleotide ribosomal RNA is filed under the name uncultured bacterium. Its description in RNAcentral is "partial 16S ribosomal RNA". It matches the Rfam family "Bacterial small subunit ribosomal RNA", at positions 524 to 776 of the family's 1533-position model. The record is from RNAcentral.
UACGUAGGGUGCGAGCGUUAAUCGGAAUUACUGGGCGUAAAGCGUGCGCAGGCGGUUCGUUAUGUCCGUUGUGAAAGCCCCGGGCUCAACCUGGGAAUGGCAAUGGAAACUGGCGGGCUAGAGUGUGGCAGAGGGGGGUGGAAUUCCGCGUGUAGCAGUGAAAUGCGUAGAGAUGCGGAGGAACACCAAUGGCGAAGGCAGCUCUCUGGGACGGUACUGACGCUGAGACGCGAAAGCGUGGGGAGCGAACAGG